GGUGGCAAGCGACAAGUGCCGGAGCGCUACGCGGACGUCGGCUGCGGCUACCCGUGAGGUGUGCGGCGACGAAUCGGGAGGGUGGUGAUGCCACCACGGUGAGGGCUCCUCCUUCCCCUUCUUCUCCGCCGGGGAGGCUACUCGGUCUCUGCGUCGUGCGCCCCUGUGAGGAGGGUGGAUCUGGGGAGCCCGCUCCUCGUGUGAUGGCGGCUGGCGGAGAGGACUUGUGGCGACUUUUGACCAGCCGAGCGGCAACAACGACAGUCCUUAAGGUCAAAUUGACUGGCACACCAUGGAUCAAGAGGGUUACAACUUGUACUUGAGCGAAGCAGAUCUCUCAGGUUUUGUGUGUUAGUACGUGAAGAUCCCCGCCCGAUUUUUGCGUCAACACACUUUUGGCACGCCCGGUGGGACUACGAGCAGUUUUCAACAUGUCUAUUCCGGAACCUUCUGAUCUCUCAAACAAAAACAUCAUGGAGGUUAUGGAAGAUGAUCUUAAGGAGGAUCAGAAAAGUGAUCUAGCAAGAGCUAUGGAGGAAUAUAAAUUGAUGUACUUGAGAUCCUAUAGCCUUACCAAGAGGGGAGAAGUUAUUAAAAAGCAUGAUUUUCCAA
Molecule: long non-coding RNA, 612 nt
Organism: Setaria italica (foxtail millet)
Lineage: Eukaryota; Viridiplantae; Streptophyta; Magnoliopsida; Poales; Poaceae
Exons: 2
Source: RefSeq, a predicted model, not a curated record